Felis catus (domestic cat) is the source of this 3836-nucleotide long non-coding RNA. RefSeq lists it as uncharacterized. Lineage: Eukaryota; Metazoa; Chordata; Mammalia; Carnivora; Felidae. The transcript has 3 exons. The record is from RefSeq and is a predicted model, not a curated record.
AACAGGCUCCAUGCAGACAGCAGAGAGCCUGAUGUGGGGCUCAGACCCACAAACUGUGAGAUCAUGACCUGAGCCAAAGGUUGCCGUUUAACCAACUGAGCCACCCAGGAGCCCCUGCAUAACCUGGUUUCAACUGGUUUAUGUCCCACUUACAAGAGAAAAUGACCUACCUGACACAUGUCUGUUUAAAUCAUUUCACAUUUCUCAUUAAUUAAAUGAUUAUUAACCCUUAAGCUCAACAAGAUUCACAAAUCAAGUGUGAGAUUCAAAGAGUAAAAAACAAAAAAAAAAUUUUUGACAGUUUCAACUAAAACAUCUAUUGUUUUAGGGGUGCCUGGCUGGAUCAGUCGGUUAAGCGUCUGACUCUUGACAUCCACUUAGGUCAUGAUCUCACAGUUUUUGAGAUGGAGCCCCGAGUCAGGCUCUAUGCUUGGGCUUAUCUCUGCCCCUCUCUCUCUCUGCCCCUCCCUCACUAUGCUUGUUCUCUCUCUCUCAAAAUAAAUAAAAACAUUAAAAAAAAUCUAUUGCUUCUAAAGCUGAAGGCCUUAGGCUCACAGUCACCAUGGGAAGGUUAUUCCUUCUCCCAUUGUACUCUUCCAGUUAAGCUAAGCCAAAAGGCAGUGCUAACACCCACAAAAAUGAUUGGUACUAUAUCUGGAGUACCAUGAGAUCAGUCUUGGCUGGCCCAUAAUAUUCCUGUAAUUCUUUAAAGCAGUCUUUUAUUUGUCCUUUAAUUUCUUAAUCACUUACCACAGUGACUGUUUUCAAUACUUUUUUACUCUCCUUAGGUCACCACUACACCCUCAUCUUUAUCCAAUCCUGUGUGAACUUUUUCAGGUUCCAUUCUCCACUCCUCACCACCUGCAAGCCUCCAAACUCCAUAGCUACCUAUACAGACUCUGUGUGUGUGUGUGUGUGUGUGUGUGUGUGUGUGUGGAUGUGCACGCGCCUGCAUACACGCGUGCAUGUAGCUAUGCGAUGUUGCAUAUAUAAACUAACAUCCUGUAUUUCUGGAACCAAUUUCAUUGUCUUCUAAAUAGUAUAUGUUCCAAGCACUCACUGGGGAGACCUGAAUGCCAGAGUUUAUGGUAAUCAUCAUCCUCAGUUUACAUUUAUUGAGUGUUUACUACAUAACAAGCUCUAUCAAAGUUGCUUCACAUUUAUUUUAUUAAUUUAUAUAAUCUUCUUAACAACCUGGGAAGUAAAUGCCAUCAUCCUCAUUUUACAGACAAGUAAACAGAGGCAAUGAGAGAUUAAGAUCACACCUUAGUAGAUCAUAGAACUGAAAUUCUAUCCCAAUGGCCUUACUCAGGUCCUGUUCUCAUAACUGCUAUGUCAUAGUGCCUCUUAAAGUCUCCACGAAGACAUUGUCCAAAAAUAAAUUCUUACAUUUGUAUAUAUAACAUUACAGUGUAUAAAUGGCUUUUAUAUUUAAAUGCCCUAUUAAAUUAAUAGUUAAGUUACUACUAUUCUUGUUUUACAAAUGCAGAAAAAAUUCAAAGAUUAAUGGACUUAUUUACCCAAGGUCAUUAAACUAAUGAGUAGUGAAUCCACAUCUCCUUCCACGGAAAGAAAGAAAAUUUAGAUCAGAAAAUUGUUUUCCCAUGGGCUCUUUCUGUGGAGAUAAAUGUUUGAAACUUUGAUGAAAAUAGCUGGUGAAAUGGAUUCUUUGUAACUUCAUACCAUAAAUGGCAUCCUCUGGGCUAUCUGAGGGACAUCAGCAUUAAUGAUCAAUUAAUAUCAUUAUUUAUUUUAUUUUUAUUCUUCAAAUUAGUAGUCCGACCUCUGCUGAAAUUGUUUCCUUUUUCCUUAAACACACUUUGAUUUUCAAAAUCAUUACUGCUGAGUGGGACCCCAUAACUGGGUGGAUGAGAAUAUGGAGAUUACAGCACAGUGAAGUAAAGAUAGAAGGGUGAUUUCACCAAUUCUUCAACAAACCUCUAUCUUUUCCUGCUCAAGUCACAGGUAAUAGAGAAGUAAACCCAGGCUUGGCUUUUUAUUUUAACUGGGAAAGCAAAGGUCUGGUUUUAUAAGACUCCUGAUUCUAUAAAGACUGACACCCUCACCAAACAAACAAAACAGAAUAACCCUUGUUGUGGAUUGAAUUAUGUCCUGCAAAAAGGUAUGUGGAAGUCCUAUCCCUCAGUCCCUAUGUAUGUGACCUCUCUGGAAAUAGAAUGAUUGCUGAUGUAAUUAGUCAGGUUAAGAUGAGGUGUUACUGGAGUAGGUUGGGCCCUUAAUCUAAUAUCACUGCUAUUUUUAUAAGAAGAGGAGAGAGAGACAAAAGGUAGAUGACCGUGUGAAGACUAAGGCAGAGAUUGGAGUUACGUGGCCACAAACCAAGGAACACCAGGACCUCCAAAGAGUGAGAAGAGGCAAGCUUUUGUGAGUGUUCAACAUUCAACCCCAAGAAACGUUCGGAAGGAGUGAUGAAGGCUGAAUACUAAAGAGUGCCAAAUCCUUGAAUGAAUGGGCAACUCUGAGCUAAUAGGCCAAGAAGAAAAAUUAAAUCACCUAAGGACCAUGAUAUUGGAAACCUGGAAACAACUAAAAGAGAAUGAGAAGGCAGAAAACUAACAGCACGCUCUCCCAUCUGUUAGUCUGUUUACCAGUGUCUCAGCAUCAGCUCAUGUAUGCCGAGGGUUUAUUCAUCCCAGCGUUAUGUGAGUAAAUUGGGAAAAUUGGUUUCCUCUGGUAAAAAACACUUACACUUCAAAGUAUUUUCCCUACAUUCAUACUCCUAAUUUUCCCUUUUUGAUCUUUACAUCUGUUGUCGUACAGAUCCAAAAGCCCCAAGAUCCUGACUUCCCCUCCAACCAUCCCAAACACAUGGUUAGUAUUUAACAUCCAGAGCUUCAUUUUCGUUUUUUACUACUUAUAAUUUUGAAUGAAACUAUCACAAGAAAUGAAAUUCAAAGAAAAGAUAAUAUCAAAUAUGUCUUUAAGACUAAAUUUAUUCAGAGUUUUAUAUUCAAAUCAAAUUGGUUUUUCUCUAUAAAAGAGGGGUUAAAUUUCUGGGGCUGUUGCCUUGGAGAAAAGUAAUAGGAAAAUCUAUAGGAAAGAAAUGUAGGAAGUCUGGUGCAGCUGAUUGCAUUCACACUGGGGAAACACAGCAGGGCUGUGAUAUUAUUACCUAUAUGAUCGCUAUAGCAUGUUUGUUCUUGGAUACCCGCAGAAGGAUAGGAAAUAUGUGUGAAGAGAAGGGAUAAGAUAAAUAUGUAAAUCUUUGUUACAAUGAUUAAAAUUACUCAGAAUUAAAAUUUGCUAUCAGUUAAUGUUUGGAUGUUUAUCUCAGCAACAAAAAGCUUAAGCUAUUUUAAUUUGAUUGUAUGGAAAUCAAGUGGUUGGUCUUUCGUGGGGUGCAGGGUUGAGACAACUUCUCAAUGUUUCUUUCUCAAUUUCAAGACCAUUCUGUAAUAGUUGGAGUCAAUGGCCAUAACUCUAUAAAAGUGUAUAAUUUGAAGAGAGCAUUCUCGAUCUUAAAAUAUUUUCCCAGCAGCUAUUGGCACCUGAAAUUUUGUCAUUACAGAUUGAUUUUAUACAAGAGCCUUGUAAAAGUAUUUACUUACAGGAGGUUGGAGGAGGUGAUACAGAAUAUAUACAAAUUUUCUUGGUGUGUAUUUUUUUUUAUUUUGAACCAUCUGAAUGUAUUAUAUAUUAUCUGUCAAAAAUAAAAUUUUUAAAUAAAAAAAAUUUUCUUGAAACUGUGAAAGUCUUCUGGAAGUUCCACUUGAAAUGUAAAUGCUUCAGGGGGAAAAAGGCACAUUUCUUGCAAGAAUUCCCUGAUAUUCAGCUGUGAAUGAGAGGAACCCUUGACCCAGAAUGAUCUUUCCCUA